Oncorhynchus tshawytscha (Chinook salmon) is the source of this 404-nucleotide long non-coding RNA. RefSeq lists it as uncharacterized. The record is from RefSeq and is a predicted model, not a curated record. The transcript has 3 exons. NCBI's taxonomy places the organism in Eukaryota, Metazoa, Chordata, Actinopteri, Salmoniformes, Salmonidae.
CCCAGUCGGAUACACAACACAGCUUCAAUGACCCUGAUGCUAACUCUCUCUGACAUUUUGGCCAGGAGGAACCAUUCCGGCACAACAACAUGUUCAGUUCCCUCUUUGUUAAUGUUUCACAGAUGGUGGCCCUCACUGUGCUGAUGCAUUUUGGCCGCUCGGAUAUUGAUAUACACGAGUAUAAUUAACAUUUUCUCUCACCCCAGGUCGUCUCCAUGAACAAGGUCAGUUUCAGAUCGAGAUCAGAUGGAGUCUCAGGGAGAGAGGCUGGCGGGGACGGGAGUCGUGCCAAGAAGGCAGUAAACGACAAAAAGGCUCUCGCAGAACUCCUUGCUUGAGUCAUGCUUAUUUUGGAUGUGUCCGAAGAGUUCUCAGUAGUCUUGAAGAGAAUGCCAGACUUUGAU